This is a long non-coding RNA of Daphnia pulex (common water flea), 1855 nucleotides long. RefSeq lists it as uncharacterized. The record is from RefSeq and is a predicted model, not a curated record. The transcript is spliced from 5 exons. NCBI's taxonomy places the organism in Eukaryota, Metazoa, Arthropoda, Branchiopoda, Diplostraca, Daphniidae.
CGAUCGGGAGUAGAGACUCGGCACAGACUCACUCGAUACUAUAAAAGAGACCGACGCUGGUCCCGUCACGUCAUUUAUUCCUUCGUAUUUCGACGCGUCUACCUGCACAAACGUUCUGGUUUCUUCCAGCAGACUCAAUUAAUCGCUACAGUUUCUCCUAUUCUUCUCGAAUUUUCAAGUAGAAACAUUGAUUGACUGUUCCGAGAGACGCAAGAAACAAAAAGAAAACAAUUCAAAAGUCACCUGGCACUUCUCACAAUCUACAGAAUGUUCGUCGUAACGAUGUCAACCAGAACGGCAGCGGCCGCCUAUCUUUUCUUCCUACUCGUCUCAUUGGCCAACACCGCCGUUCUCAACAGGUCAUACGUGGAACGAAGCGCUGAGGACAUGAAUGACAACAUGUACGCAGACAUUGAACUGAUUGAAGAUUACCCAAUGAAACCCGUAACAAUGUUUGACAUUUUAAAGCGCGUUCUGGCCCAAAAACCUGCGCCACCUGAACCGACUGAGCUAAUAAAGACUCCAUUCAGGAAGAGGACGUGCUACUUCAACGGGGGAAUGUCUCACAGUUGCGACUACAAGGAGUUGCUCCAGUCAGCUGACGACGCCAACCAUUGGAGCAGCGAACACACUCCGGGCAAGCGCCGGAAGCGUUCUUCCCGCCGCGGACGAGCGCCGGCAGCGCGUUCCGCCGAUGAGCAACAACGUCCGGCAACAACACUCUGAAAGGAGAGAGAAAGCGAGAGAGAUAAUAAUCCAACCACCUUUCACCUUUACAUAACCAGCCAACAAAUACACCGAAAAGACGAUUCAUUUAACCCCACCCUGGCCACUUAAUAUACACACGGACAACACAUUUAACUUCAAGAAUUCUUUAUUUUUCGUUUCUUUUGUUUUUGAUUCCAUCUCUCCACGGAAUCAUCAUAUCCAUCAGGUUUCUACCUCGAGCCCAACCCUCCCCUCCGACGGUCGCCAUUAAAAUGGCCGGAGAAAUUCCUCAAGUCUCGACUCCACACGGCCAGUCGAUUUUGAUGUUGUGCAACACAUUGGCACCGUUCGACGUGAUUUAUUUGCCACGGCGUAAAAUUCCUCCAUCAUUUGGCUCCAUCCGAAAAUAAAGCCUGAAAUCAUCGUGACAUCAUGGCCCCUCCCUCUACCCAAAUAAGAAGAAACACAAAAAUCUAUUACUUAUAUGAUUUCAUAUUCCUUUCUUUCUGACAGUGUGUCAUUAUUCAAAAAUUGUAGCCCGAAUGCGCACAAGCCACAACAAAACAGCAACAACUCGACAAACACCCAAAACUGACUUGGCCCCCACCCACUCUCAGCAGCAACAAAAGGCAAAAAUAAAAAACUAUAGAAAAAUGGUUAAAAAUCUAAAACGCGUAGAGUAUAUAUAGAAACAAUCGACGACGACGCCCAGAUAUGGAAUGCCACUGUGUCGUUCAUGUAUUGUCACCAUCGCGCAUAUUAUUGACACGCUCCAGCGCCAGUGAAUAAAAACACCAUCCAUCCCAGCAACUACUAACCGAUGUAUCCGUCGCGAGCGCAUCUAUAGUCCCUUCCCAAUAAACAUUUGAUGUGUACCUUCAUUUACAUAUUGGCAGACAAUAAGUCUACACGUAUAAUAAUCAUUGGUUUAUUCCAAUCAUAUAUAUACCCACGUUGUGAUUGGACUUGCGUUUUCUCUUUUUUUUUCGUUUUUUCGUGGAUGUUGGUUGUUGUUGUUGUGAUGUUGUUGUGAACAAAUCCCGUUACAUCUGCUGCUACACACGUUUCCAUCAACUGUUUGGGAUGUGUUGGCUUCGAGCAAAAUUUAAAAAAAAGAGACAUGCACAAUAAAUGAUUAAGAUGCGCA